Molecule: long non-coding RNA, 1014 nt
Filed under: Anolis carolinensis (green anole)
Lineage: Eukaryota; Metazoa; Chordata; Lepidosauria; Squamata; Anolidae
Description: lncRNA (ENSACAG00000043835.1)
Source: RNAcentral
AUGUGGCUUUUCCCCUGUGUGGGUCCUUUGAUGGAUACGCAGACCUGUAUUGCGACUGAAGCUCUUUCCACAUUCCAUGCAGUUAUGGGGCUUCGCUCCUGUGUGGGUCCUUUCAUGGAUACGCAGACUUGUAUUCCGACUGAAACUCUUUCCACAUUCCAUGCAUUUAUGUGGCUUCUCCCCUGUGUGGGUCCUUUGAUGGAUACGCAGACUUGUAUUGCGACUGAAGUUCUUUCCACAUUCCAAGCAUUUAUAUGGCUUCUCCCCUGUGUGAAUCGUUUGAUGGGAACGCAGAUGUCCACUCGCACUGAAGCUCUUUCCACAUUCCAGGCAUUUAUGUGGCUUCUCCCCUGUGUGGGUCCUUUGAUGGGUACGCAGCUUUCCAAUCUCACUGAAGCUCUUUCCACAUUCCAAGCAUUUAUGUGGUUUCUCUCCUGUGUGGAUACUUUGAUGGGCACGCAAAUUGUGACUGUGACUGAAGCUCUUUCCACAUUCCAAGCAUUUAUGUGGCUUCUCCCCUGUGUGAAUCCUUUGAUGGGAACGCAGCUUUCCACUCUUACUGUAGCUCUUUCCACAUUCCAGGCAUUUAUGUGGCUUCUCCCCUGUGUGCGUCCUUUGAUGAAUACGCAGAGUCGCACUGUGACUGAAGCUCUUUCCACAUUCCAAGCAGUUAUGUGGCUUCUCCCCUGUAUGUGUCCUUUGAUGACUACGCAGACUAUCACUGCGACUGAAGCUCAGCCCACAUUCCAUGCAGUUAUGUGGUUUCUCCCCUGUAUGUGUCUUUUGAUGAUUACGCAGAUUCCCACUGUGACUGAAGCUCUUUCCACAUUCUAUGCAGUUGUAUGGCUUCUCCCCUGUAUGUGUCUUUUGAUGAGUACGCAGAUUCCCACUGCGACUGAAGCUCUUUCCACAUUCCACACAUUUAUAUGGCUUCUCCCCUGUGUGAGUUUGUUGAUGUUUAGUAAGGGAACUUCUCCCACUGGAACAUUUCCCGCAGUCCAUACAAUUAUGUAG